This is a non-coding RNA of Pelobates cultripes (western spadefoot toad), 255 nucleotides long. The record is from the annotation of a GenBank genome assembly. Lineage: Eukaryota; Metazoa; Chordata; Amphibia; Anura; Pelobatidae.
AAUAAAUAGACACACACACAGACCACCCACAUUGAGAAUCACCACGUGCAUUGAGACACACACAACUAUGCAAAGCUGUAUCCAUAGUUGCCAUCUUGGCCAAGCCAAACUGUAAAUUCAGCUUACUAUUAGAAUGCGGAUAGCUGUCUGGUAAUGUUACAUGCUGCAAUGAAAGUGAACUAUUCAACAAUGAAUCCCAUUCAUACUCCCAAAUAAUUAGUGAACUUGUUUCCUCUGGUAGCAUGUGAAUUCUAC